GGGCCCAUAGUCUAGUGGCUAUGACGUCACCUCGACACGGUGGAGGUCGAGAGUUCGAUUCUCUCUGGGCCCA
RNAcentral lists this transfer RNA (73 nucleotides) under Candidatus Woesearchaeota archaeon. Its description in RNAcentral is "tRNA-Val". It matches the Rfam family "tRNA". Rfam says of the family: Transfer RNA (tRNA) molecules are approximately 80 nucleotides in length. Their secondary structure includes four short double-helical elements and three loops (D, anti-codon, and T loops). The record is from RNAcentral. Lineage: Archaea; Nanobdellati; Candidatus Woesearchaeota.